RNAcentral lists this ribosomal RNA (484 nucleotides) under uncultured bacterium. RNAcentral describes it as "partial 16S ribosomal RNA". It matches the Rfam family "Bacterial small subunit ribosomal RNA", at positions 30 to 507 of the family's 1533-position model. The record is from RNAcentral.
AUCGAACGCUGGCGGCAGGCCUAACACAUGCAAGUCGAGCGGAUGAAGGGAGCUUGCUCCUGGAUUCAGCGGCGGACGGGUGAGUAAUGCCUAGGAAUCUGCCUGGUAGUGGGGGAUAACGUCCGGAAACGGGCGCUAAUACCGCAUACGUCCUGAGGGAGAAAGUGGGGGAUCUUCGGACCUCACGCUAUCAGAUGAGCCUAGGUCGGAUUAGCUAGUUGGUGGGGUAAAGGCCUACCAAGGCGACGAUCCGUAACUGGUCUGAGAGGAUGAUCAGUCACACUGGAACUGAGACACGGUCCAGACUCCUACGGGAGGCAGCAGUGGGGAAUAGUGGACAAUGGGCGAAAGCCUGAUCCAGCCAUGCCGCGUGUGUGAAGAAGGUCUUCGGAUUGUAAAGCACUUUAAGUUGGGAGGAAGGGCAGUAAGUUAAUACCUUGCUGUUUUGACGUUACCAACAGAAUAAGCACCGGCUAACUUCGUG